This 767-nucleotide long non-coding RNA is filed under the name Volvox carteri. RNAcentral's name for it is "long non-coding RNA (VCAR_LNC001760)". The record is from RNAcentral. Lineage: Eukaryota; Viridiplantae; Chlorophyta; Chlorophyceae; Chlamydomonadales; Volvocaceae.
AAUUACUUCAUACAUCAGACCGAUCAGGGAAUACGCGCAGAAACGGUGAGGCGUGUCGUCAACCACCCCCAAAGUCUCGCCAUCAGCAGACAUACACAAAGGUGCUGAAUUGCCAUGCAUACCAAGCCCAGCCACGCUAAUAGGUGCCAUCACAAACAAACAUCUUGAACACACGUACAUAUAGUCACUGCUGCAUCGCUGCUGGGCAGAUCCAUCUGCAUCCUCUCAUUUUCUUGUAAUAGAACAAAGCGUGUGGAACAUGUCGUUCCCCGCCGGCCAAUCUACAUCGACGUACCCGCGGAUCGAGCCCGACUGGAGGUGGGCAGGAAAGGCAUUCGAGUGUCCAGAAGAGGCAAAUUGGCCCCAGCUCAGCAAGGACCGUCCCUAUCUAUUACACACAAAAAUACUGACGUCAAUACCAAGGUCGUAUAAUCGUCAAGGACUUCACAAUAAUCCGUUGUUUGUGUCAACAGAUACCGGUUUCUGCUGGCAAAACAAGCAGCUUAUCGAGGAACACAGCUGGCGUAUUGCAAGCAAGACGAACAACGCACAAGCAAUUUGGCGCUUAAAUUGAUUCAUUUGUGUCCACUGGGACCGUACGAUGCGAGCUCGUGAAGCUUAUAACCAUCCCAGCAGGCGCAUACGAAUGAAACCCGAAGAAUAAUAUAAACUGCUAUCAAUAAUGCGAGCUUGCGUUAAGUAAGCUGGGUUAGUUGCGCGUAAGGCCCAAUGCGUGACUGUUAGUCUAACUGUCUCGCAACGGCUCG